GUCCUGGAAGACAGAGAAAGUCUCAAUAGGUUUCUCCUGAUUUCGCGCCCGCAGGUCCAGAGUGAAACCGGAAGCGGCAAAAUAAUGGCAAUGAGAUUACAUGGACAGCAAAUGAAGACUGAAAUACUGAAUUCUUCUCCCAAGAAACCAAGAAAAAAGUCAUUUCACAUGAAUUUUUGGAGUAAUAUCUGAGACCAAUUUGAUACUUGAAAGAAACAACUAAGCACUGAAUUGCGUCUCCUGAGCUAUGAAAGAGCAACCAGCCCAGAGAAGCUCAUGUAGAGCAGGUGUCCUCGAGCUCCUCAUUCCCACUGAAUGCAGAACGGCGUCCAGAUCCUCUUAUCUGGAGGAGAAAUCCAGCUGCACCUCGGGAAUAUUUGACAGGCUCAGAGGAGCCUGUGAUCAUGUGACUCUCUGAGCGCUCGGGCUCUGAAAUAACAAAGCAUGGGUUAAACAAAGACGAGUGCUAGCAGAUGUGUGGGAGCAGCAGGCCCCGGAUCAGUCAACAGACACGUAAAGCCGCCCCAUUCACUUCUCGAGGUAAAACAUUUGUCAUCCGCAUCCACUCAGAGCCAAGCUUUUGGCAAGCGUCUUUAUCGUUUCUUACCACGCUGCUGCCACACAAAGAAGCAUCAUGUAGCUGGCAGGCCUGUAUAAAAGGAAGAAUCACAAAUGAGAUCUUUUUCUCCUAAACAAAUGUAUUACAUGGUGAUCAGAUGAGGACUUUUGCCUAAAGGAUUUAUAUUUUAGCAGAAAGUUGAUUCUGACUGAAAAUGAAGGUAACUGAACAUGUUUUCCUCUAAGGGUCACAGCAAAAAAAAGUUAGAUAAAUGAAGUCUGUUGAAUGAUGCAAAGACCGAUGCUGUUUGAAAUCAUCCAUGCUGUUAACAUAGGGUGCACAUGAUCAAAUUAACAUAAUAAAUAAGCUGUCCAUUGAUGGUUUGUUAGGAUAGGACAAUAUUUGGCCGAGA
Molecule: long non-coding RNA, 971 nt
Organism: Carassius auratus (goldfish)
Lineage: Eukaryota; Metazoa; Chordata; Actinopteri; Cypriniformes; Cyprinidae
Exons: 3
Source: RefSeq, a predicted model, not a curated record